AGAGAGAGACAUGCGCGCAUAUCAAUAAGCGGAGGAAAAGAAACUAACAAGGAUUCCCCUAGUAACGGCGAGUGAAGCGGGAAGAGCUCAAAUUUGAAAUCUUAAAGGGUUUCCCUUUACGAAUUGUAGUUUAAAGAAGUGUUUUCUGUUGAGGUUUUGGUAAAAGUUCUUUGGAAUAGGACAUCAUAGAGGGUGAGAAUCCCGUAUUUGACCUUUACUUUCAACUUUGUGAUACACUUUCAAAGAGUCGGAUUGUUUGGGAAUGCAGUCCAAAAUGGGUGGUAAAUUUCAUCUAAAGCUAAAUAUUGGCGAGAGACCGAUAGCGAACAAGUACCGUGAGGGAAAGAUGAAAAGAACUUUGAAAAGAGAGUUAAACAGUACGUGAAAUUGUCAAAAGGGAAGCGUUUGACACCAGUGUUGUUUUUCUGAAAAUCAAUUAAAGAACUGUUUAGUGCUAAGUUGUUUAGACUUUAUCAGCUAACUGUUUAGUUUUGAGCUUUUCUUUAAUGCACUUUUCAGUUAACAAGUCAACAUCAAUUUCUUUUGCUGUAAAAAAGCUUGAGGAAGGUGGCUUGAGAUUCGUCUUAAGUGUUUAUAGCCUCUUGCCUAUGCAGUCGGAGAGAUUGAGGUCUGCAGCGUAGAUCCUUCGGGGCUAAAUGCAUUUGUGCUAAGUUAUAGCAUUUUAUAGACAGCUUGUUGACUAUGAUUUGUCUUGUAGCUUACUCGCUUAUGUUAUUUUACCUACGCUUAGGAUGUUGAGCGCAUGUCUCUCUCU
RNAcentral lists this ribosomal RNA (775 nucleotides) under uncultured Neocallimastigales. Its description in RNAcentral is "partial large subunit ribosomal RNA". It matches the Rfam family "Eukaryotic large subunit ribosomal RNA", at positions 23 to 616 of the family's 3401-position model. Lineage: Eukaryota; Fungi; Neocallimastigomycota; Neocallimastigomycetes; Neocallimastigales. The record is from RNAcentral.